CGCUAGGUUUUUUCCAGAUAAAAAGCGUGAGGAAUUGCACGGAACACUUUCAAAGCAAAGAAUUUUAUGCGGUUCUUGCGCUUAGUCCGUUUACUUACUACAAACAAUGGGUAGUAUGUACGCCGGUCAUUUUCUCAUUUUCGAGAGA
Molecule: non-coding RNA, 148 nt
Organism: Pseudomonas sp. Bc-h
Lineage: Bacteria; Pseudomonadati; Pseudomonadota; Gammaproteobacteria; Pseudomonadales; Pseudomonadaceae
Source: Rfam